Long non-coding RNA from Epinephelus moara (kelp grouper), 242 nucleotides. RefSeq lists it as uncharacterized. The record is from RefSeq and is a predicted model, not a curated record. Lineage: Eukaryota; Metazoa; Chordata; Actinopteri; Perciformes; Serranidae. The transcript has 3 exons.
GUGUGCAAGAAUUUCUCCAUGCGGUCAGACAGACAGCUCCUCUCCCCUUUUUCUUCUCUUUUUUGCCUUGGAGAGCCUUUGCUUUUGCUGUUCUUCGUCAUGGAUGGUUUUGUUCGGAACAAAUUAACUGAAUGGGGUCUCAGUGAGUGGAUAGAAACAUUUCAAGCUCAACGCAUUGACAAGAAAAAUCUUUACUGUCUUGGUCAUCAAGAAAUCACUGACUUGAUCCCAAAACUGGGACC